Molecule: unclassified non-coding RNA, 418 nt
Filed under: Hevea brasiliensis (rubber tree)
Lineage: Eukaryota; Viridiplantae; Streptophyta; Magnoliopsida; Malpighiales; Euphorbiaceae
Source: RNAcentral
GGCGAUUCAGGUCAAAGCGUGAUGCAAGGAAAAAAGGAGGUGGUGGUGGUGGUGGGAAAAAGGGUAAAAGUCGAGGUAGCAAUGGUCGAGGCGUGCGUGGAGUAGAUUUUGGUCUUGGAAUUGGUUAUAAUCCAGAAAGCAGUGGUAGUAGUCCUUCAGCAACCAAUGUUCAAAGUCGAUCUGCAGCUGUAAAUUCUUUGAGGACAGGAAUGAUGGCGCAGUUUAAGAGCAAUUUUGUUGCCGCUUCAUCUGGCCCACCAAGUCAGGGUUCAAGUAACAACUAUAGCGCGCCAGCAAACAAAAGGCCAACGUUAUCAGGCUUUGUAUCUGGUGGUUCGAUUGGUGGGGGUGCGAACAGCCCAGCACCUCCAGUGUCAAGAGGGAACUCGUACAUGCCAAAUUCUGUAGAAUAUUCAAG